AGGACGAACGCUGGCGGCGUGCUUAAAACAUGCAAGUCGAACGGGGGCUUCGGCCCCAGUGGCAAACGGCUGAGUAACGCGUGGGUGACCUGCCUGGAAGUGGGGAAUAACUGCCCGAAAGGGUGGCUAAUACCGCAUGUGGUCGGCGAUUCGAUUCGCCGUCUAAAGGAGCAAUUCGCUUCCGGAGGGGCCUGCGUCCGAUUAGCUAGUUGGUGGGGUAACGGCUCACCAAGGCGACGAUCGGUAGCUGGUCUGAGAGGAUGAUCAGCCAGACUGGGACUGAGAACGGCCCAGACUCCUACGGGAGGCAGCAGUCGGGAAUUUUGCCCAAUGGACGAAAGUCUGAGGCAGCAACUCCGCGUGAGGGAUGAAGGCUCUAGGGUCGUAAACCUCUUUUCUCAGGGAAGAUCCAAGACGGUACCUGAGGAAUAAGCGACGGCUAACUACGUGCCAGCAGCCGC
This 461-nucleotide ribosomal RNA is filed under the name uncultured bacterium. Its description in RNAcentral is "SSU rRNA". It matches the Rfam family "Bacterial small subunit ribosomal RNA", at positions 26 to 518 of the family's 1533-position model. The record is from RNAcentral.